CUGGCAGAUGAGGAAGUGGCACAGUGCACAGUGAGCUGAGCUCUGACCAUGCAGCCCCUCCAGCGUGCCCACCUGCUCCUCCUGUUUGCCCUCCUUGUCCUCUGCAUGCCCUUCUGCCAGGCGGACAAAACCAACGCAGAGGAGAAGGGAGAGAAAGUGAUGACGACCACUCCCAAAGCCACCGUAACCGCUUGGAGCCCUCCCUGCACCAGCCCCCCUCUCCUUUCCCUUGCCC
Long non-coding RNA from Calypte anna (Anna's hummingbird), 235 nucleotides. RefSeq lists it as uncharacterized. The record is from RefSeq and is a predicted model, not a curated record. The transcript is spliced from 2 exons. Lineage: Eukaryota; Metazoa; Chordata; Aves; Apodiformes; Trochilidae.